RNAcentral lists this ribosomal RNA (253 nucleotides) under uncultured bacterium. RNAcentral's name for it is "partial 16S ribosomal RNA". It matches the Rfam family "Bacterial small subunit ribosomal RNA", at positions 524 to 776 of the family's 1533-position model. The record is from RNAcentral.
UACAGAGGUCCCGAGCGUUGUUCGGAUUCACUGGGCGUAAAGGGUGCGUAGGCGGUUCUGAAAGUCUGAUGUGAAAUCUCCAGGCCCAACCUGGAAACGGCAUUAGAAACUACAGGGCUAGAGGCUUGGAGGGGGAACUGGAAUGCUCGGUGUAGCAGUGAAAUGCGUAGAGAUCGAGCGGAACACCAGUGGCGAAGGCGAGUUCCUGGACAAGUCCUGACGCUGAGGCACGAAAGCCAGGGGAGCAAACGGG